Molecule: ribosomal RNA, 378 nt
Filed under: uncultured bacterium
Lineage: Bacteria
Description: bacterial SSU rRNA
Rfam family: Bacterial small subunit ribosomal RNA
Source: RNAcentral
AUACGUAGGGUGCAAGCGUUGUCCGGAAUUAUUGGGCGUAAAGAGCUCGUAGGCGGUUUGUCGCGUCUGCUGUGAAAACCUGAGGCUCAACCUUGGGCUUGCAGUGGGUACGGGCAGGCUAGAGUGCGGUAGGGGAGAUUGGAAUUCCUGGUGUAGCGGUGGAAUGCGCAGAUAUCAGGAGGAACACCGAUGGCGAAGGCAGAUCUCUGGGCCGCUACUGACGCUGAGGAGCGAAAGCAUGGGGAGCGAACAGGAUUAGAUACCCUGGUAGUCCAUGCCGUAAACGUUGGGCGCUAGAUGUGGGGACCAUUCCACGGUUUCUGUGUCGUAGCUAACGCAUUAAGCGCCCCGCCUGGGGAGUACGGCCGCAAGGCUAAA